Molecule: signal recognition particle RNA, 306 nt
Filed under: Caldisphaera sp.
Lineage: Archaea; Thermoproteati; Thermoproteota; Thermoprotei; Acidilobales; Acidilobaceae
Description: signal recognition particle sRNA
Rfam family: Archaeal signal recognition particle RNA
Source: RNAcentral
CGUGCGGGUAGGGUUGGAGGGCUCGCCACCCUUUAACUCCGAAGGCGUAACGCGGGACCAGUAAUCUUGUUAAGUUACCAAACGUGAUAGAAGGUCCCCAUAGUAAGAUGAACUCCGCUCCGUGGAGUUUGCAUAGGUUGGGGAUCUGUCGGAGGACAGAUACCUACAACCCUAAUCGGGAGAACCUGGCCAGGCCCGGAAGGGAGCAACCUGUGCCCGAAUGCAAACGUUCACGGCAUGCGGAGAAGAUUUACCAUGGGGGUUAAAACCUCUAUCACGUUUGGUAACUUAACAAGAAGCCGCACA